Molecule: non-coding RNA, 88 nt
Organism: Potamilus streckersoni
Lineage: Eukaryota; Metazoa; Mollusca; Bivalvia; Unionida; Unionidae
Source: the annotation of a GenBank genome assembly
GCUCUGGUGGCUUUGUGGUCAGAGCGUUCGCCUCGGGUGCAGGAGGUUGCGGGUUCGAACCCAGCCGAGUCAUAACAAAGUCAGAACA